Molecule: long non-coding RNA, 511 nt
Filed under: Nicotiana benthamiana
Lineage: Eukaryota; Viridiplantae; Streptophyta; Magnoliopsida; Solanales; Solanaceae
Description: long non-coding RNA (NBEN_LNC027940)
Source: RNAcentral
CUCACCAAGCCUCUAACUGGCACUGCCCUACAUCCGAUGCUGUCCAAGUUGAAGGUGGUGUCCCCCUCCAACUUGAGGGGGGGUAUCGACUUACAAGAUUACAUGGCUUCUAAGCCAUUUCAAUCGUUGUGUAAUUGUAUAUUGAUUUUGUAUAUUUGAUGUAUAUAGAGUGUAUAUAUAAUGGGCAGUGAUGAUAUAUGUUCUGGGCUCAUGUGUUGGGCCACUGACACUUAUGAGCCUAAUGGGUCAUAUCUGAGCCCGGGUCAUUUGACCCAUAUAUGUUCUGGGCUCAUGUGUUGGGUCACUGACACUUAUGAGCCUAAUGGGUCGUAUCUGAGCCCGGGUCAUUUGACCCAAUACCCGACCCGGUCUGGUCCAAUUCUUAUUUGUACAUAUGGUGUAGAGGAGAAGGUUCUACACAUCAGAUAUUUUCAUUUUCAUUUCCCAACAACCGACUCUUCGGUUCUCUCAAUCUCUCCUCCUUCUCUCUACUUUCUCUCUCUAGUUUCUC